GAUGAACGCUAGCGGGAGGCCUAACACAUGCAAGCCGAGCGGUAGAGUCUCUUCGGUGACUUUAGAGCGGCGCACGGGGGCGGAACACUUGUGCAACCUGCCUUUAUCUGUGGGAUAGCCUUUCGAAAGGAAGAUUAAUACCCCAUAAUAUACUUGAUUGCAUCAUCUGGUAUUGAAAACUCCGGUGGGUAUAGAUGGGCACGCUCAAGAUUACAUAGUUGGUGAGGUAACGGCUCACCAAGUCAGCGAUCUUUAGGGGGCCUGAGAGGGUGAUCCCCCACAACGGUACUGAGACACGGACCAGACUCCUACGGGAGGCAGCAGUGAGGAAUAUUGGACAAUGGGUGAGAGCCGGAUCCAGCCGUCCCGCGUGAAGGACGACGGUCCUAUGGGUUGUAAACUUCUUUUGUAUAGGGAUAAACCUAGAUACGUGUAUCUAGCUGAAGGUACUAUACGAAUAAGCACCGGCUAACUACGUG
This 479-nucleotide ribosomal RNA is filed under the name uncultured bacterium. RNAcentral's name for it is "partial 16S ribosomal RNA". It matches the Rfam family "Bacterial small subunit ribosomal RNA", at positions 28 to 507 of the family's 1533-position model. The record is from RNAcentral.